RNAcentral lists this ribosomal RNA (348 nucleotides) under Triticum aestivum (bread wheat). Its description in RNAcentral is "partial small subunit ribosomal RNA". Lineage: Eukaryota; Viridiplantae; Streptophyta; Magnoliopsida; Poales; Poaceae. The record is from RNAcentral.
AUGGAAGGGGGAGGAGAAGAGGCACCGCGCGAGGCUCCACCGGCGUCCCCUGCUGGAUCCGGCUCCUCCGCAUUAAGCCCAGCGCCGGCACAGGGGGCGGCGGCCGCGGUGCUCGGUGAGGCGGACCUGCACCGGGGCCGGCAGGCGUGGUGUUCGGGAAGGAGGGCCCAAAGCCGGGGUGAUGGAGGAGGGAGAGAGGAAUGGAGGGGGAGGAGAAGAAGCGCCACGCGAGGCUCCAUCGGCGUCCCCCGCCGUGUCGCCCCACGUCUUCUGUCGCUUUCAUCUCCGGCAAGGCGAGCUCGGGGGAGGCGAGUCGGACCUGGACAGGGGGCAGCGCUGACCGGGUGA